UACAGCGAGGCAGAGUGAAGUAUAGUGAAGGGAGAGUGAGGCAGAGAGUAAUACAGCGAGGCAGAGUGAAGUACAGCGAGGCAGAGUGAAGUACAGUGAAGGGAGAGUGAGGCAGAGAGUAAUACAGCGAGGCAGAGUGAAGUACAGCGAGGCAGAGAGUAAUACAGCGAGGCAGAGUGAAGUACAGCGAGGCAGAGAGUAAUACAGCGAGGCAGAGAGUAAUACAGCGAGGCAGAGAGUAAUACAGCGUAUAUUUUAAUAGCAGAUUUUAUAGUUCACUUUAGCCUAGUGCACACUACAUGAGUUCCCCCUCCAUAACAAAAUCGCUGAGCGUUACCAUGGCAACCGCUAGUGCUGUGUGACGGGUUCAGCAUCGCGAUGCGCAGUUUGUUGAAGACACCCGGAUGUUUUGUUUAAUGCACGUUCAACCUCCCCGUGACGAAUCGUGUAGCGCGGGCCCCUGUACCCC
This is a long non-coding RNA of Ictalurus punctatus (channel catfish), 469 nucleotides long. NCBI's taxonomy places the organism in Eukaryota, Metazoa, Chordata, Actinopteri, Siluriformes, Ictaluridae. The record is from Ensembl.